AUUCUGCCCAUGCGGGGAAGGAUGAGAAGCUUCGACCAAGGUUCGACUUGAGCGCCAGCGAGAGAGCGUUGCCGCAGGCAACGACCCGAAGGGUGAAGCGCGCAGCGCUGAGUAAUCCUUCCCCCACCACCA
This 132-nucleotide small RNA is filed under the name Escherichia coli. RNAcentral's name for it is "RtT sRNA". It matches the Rfam family "RtT RNA". Rfam says of the family: This family represents a bacterial cis-regulatory element known as RtT RNA. The exact function of RtT is unknown although it is thought that it may be involved in changing the cellular response in relation to amino acid starvation. The record is from RNAcentral. Lineage: Bacteria; Pseudomonadati; Pseudomonadota; Gammaproteobacteria; Enterobacterales; Enterobacteriaceae.